This 228-nucleotide ribosomal RNA is filed under the name Gentiana prostrata var. ludlowii. The record is from RNAcentral. Lineage: Eukaryota; Viridiplantae; Streptophyta; Magnoliopsida; Gentianales; Gentianaceae.
AUCGCGUCGCUCCCCCAACACCGUGCAUGAAACACUGUCGGUUGUCGAGGGACGGAUAUUGGCUUCCCGUGCUUCGGUGCGGCUGGCCUAAAUGCAAGUCCCUUGCGACGGACACGACGACAAGUGGUGGUUGAUUACCUCAACUCAGUUGCUGUCGGACGUUGACCCGUCGGAUGAGGAGACUUCCUUGACCCUAAUCGAYGUCAUCACGACGCCUGCCACGACCGC